GUCGAGAAUCUUUCACAAUGGGGGCAACCCUGAUGGAGCGACGCCGCGUGGAGGAUAAGGUCUUCGGAUUGUAAACUCCUGUCAUGCGUGAACAAGGUUGCUUGGUUAAUACCUGGGCAAAUUGAUGGUAACGCAAGAGGAAGAGACGGCUAACUCUGUGCCAGCAGCCGCGGUAAUACAGAGGUCUCAAGCGUUGUUCGGAAUCACUGGGCGUAAAGGGUGCGUAGGUGGCGUGGUAAGUCAGAUGUGAAAGCCCGGGGCUCAACCUCGGAACUGCAUCCGAUGCUGCCAUGCUAGAGUACUGGAGAGGUGACUAGAAUUCUCGGUGUAGCAGUGAAAUGCGUAGAUAUCGAGAGGAAUACCAAAGGCGUAGGCAGGUCACUGGACAGUUACUGACACUGAGGCACGAAGGCCAGGGGAGCGAACGGGAUUAGAAACCCUUGUAGUCC
This 449-nucleotide ribosomal RNA is filed under the name uncultured bacterium. RNAcentral's name for it is "partial 16S ribosomal RNA". It matches the Rfam family "Bacterial small subunit ribosomal RNA", at positions 354 to 796 of the family's 1533-position model. The record is from RNAcentral.